Molecule: antisense RNA, 69 nt
Filed under: Saccharothrix espanaensis DSM 44229
Lineage: Bacteria; Bacillati; Actinomycetota; Actinomycetes; Pseudonocardiales; Pseudonocardiaceae
Description: ASpks TB sRNA
Rfam family: ASpks TB sRNA
Source: Rfam by way of RNAcentral
CUUGGCCGAGCCCAGCAGCAGCGGCCGGCCGGCGCGCUGCCCGUAGGUCGCCAGGACCGCCUGCGCCUC